This 228-nucleotide ribosomal RNA is filed under the name uncultured bacterium. RNAcentral's name for it is "partial 16S ribosomal RNA". It matches the Rfam family "Bacterial small subunit ribosomal RNA", at positions 568 to 795 of the family's 1533-position model. The record is from RNAcentral.
UGCGCAGGCGGGCUUGUAAGUCAGUGGUGAAAUACUGCCGCUCAACGGUAGAACUGCCAUUGAUACUGCAAGUCUUGAAUAUGGUUGAGGUAGGCGGAAUGUGUCGUGUAGCGGUGAAAUGCAUAGAUAUGACACAGAACGCCAAUUGCGAAGGCAGCUUACUAAGCCAUUAUUGACGCUGAGGCACGAAAGCGUAGGGAGCGAACAGGAUUAGAUACCCUGGUAGUC